CGCACAUUGCGCCCCUCGGCAUUCCGGGGGGCAUGCCUGUUCGAGCGUUAUUGCACCCCUCAAGCGUAGCUUGGUAUUGGGCUCUCGCCCCCGUGGCGUGCCCGAAUAGCAGUGGCGGUCCGGAGCGACUUUAAGCGUAGUAAAACUUCUCCCGCUUUGAAAGAUCGCGCCGUGACCUGCCAGACAACUCCAACAUUUCAAUAAUUGACCUCGGAUCAGGUAGGGAUACCCGCUGAACUUAA
This 242-nucleotide unclassified non-coding RNA is filed under the name Canoparmelia texana. RNAcentral's name for it is "partial contains 5.8S ribosomal RNA, internal transcribed spacer 2, and large subunit ribosomal RNA". The record is from RNAcentral. Lineage: Eukaryota; Fungi; Ascomycota; Lecanoromycetes; Lecanorales; Parmeliaceae.